CCUACGGGAGACAGCAGUGGGGAAUAUUGGGCAAUGGGCGCAACCCUGACCCAGCAACGCCGCGUGAAGGAAGAAGGCUUUCGGGUUGUAAACUUCUUUUGACAGGGAAGAGUAGAAGACGGUACCUGUCGAAUAAGCCACGGCUAACUACGUGCCAGCAGCCGCGGUAAUACGUAGGUGGCAAGCGUUGUCCGGAUUUACUGGGUGUAAAGGGCGUGUAGGCGGGUUGAGAAGUCAGAUGUGAAAUCCUGCGGCUUAACCGCAGAACUGCAUUUGAAACUGUUGAUCUUGAGUACUGGAGAGGCAGACGGAAUUCCUAGUGUAGCGGUGAAAUGCGUAGAUAUUAGGAGGAACACCAGUGGCGAAGGCGGUCUACUGGACAGCAACUGACGGUGAGGCGCGAAAGCGUGGGGAGCAAACAGGAUUAGAUACCCUUGUAGUC
This 442-nucleotide ribosomal RNA is filed under the name uncultured bacterium. RNAcentral describes it as "partial 16S ribosomal RNA". It matches the Rfam family "Bacterial small subunit ribosomal RNA", at positions 338 to 795 of the family's 1533-position model. The record is from RNAcentral.